GACGAACGCUGGCGGCGUGCUUAACACAUGCAAGUCGAACGAUGAAGCUGGAGCUUGCUCCAGUGGAUUAGUGGCGAACGGGUGAGUAACACGUGAGCAAUCUGCCCUUGACUCUGGGAUAACUGCGGGAAACUGUAGCUAAUACCGGAUAUGCCACCUUGGGGCAUCCCGAGGUGUGGAAAGAAUUUCGGUCAAGGAUGAGCUCGCGGCCUAUCAGCUGGUUGGUAAGGUAACGACUAACCAAGGCGACGACGGGUAGCCGGCCUGAGAGGGUGACCGGCCACACUGGAACUGAGACACGGUCCAGACUCCUACGGGAGGCAGCAGUGGGGAAUAUUGCACAAUGGGCGAAAGCCUGAUGCAGCAACGCCGCGUGAGGGAUGACGGCCUUCGGGUUGUAAACCUCUUUUAGCAGGGAAGAAGCGAAAGUGACGGUACCUGCAGAAAAAGCACCGGCUAACUACGUGCCAGCAGCCGCCGUAA
Molecule: ribosomal RNA, 483 nt
Filed under: uncultured bacterium
Lineage: Bacteria
Description: partial 16S ribosomal RNA
Rfam family: Bacterial small subunit ribosomal RNA
Source: RNAcentral